AAUGUAUCCUGUGCAUUUCCCGUCCUGACAGUGGUGGUCAUCCUGACAGUGGUGGUCAUCCUGACAGUGGAGGUCUGCAGCCAGGUGCUCUUGAAAACCAGGAGCAAAACUAUUAAGGAGGGCUGGUUGGGUUGGAUUCGGGAAAGAUAGAGAUAAGGCUGGAGUAGAGAUGCUAGAUCCAACCUUAUUAACUUUAUCCACAAAGAAAGACAGAAGAUUUUCACAGUUUGCAUCAGAGUGGAUGGAGGCUGUAGGAGAGGCAGGAGAGACGAUACUACUGAUGAUGUUAAACAGCACACUUUGCUCUGGUACAACAGGUUGGAAAAAAUAGGCAACAGAUUUAAACAGUGGCUAAUAAUGAUGCUACUGCAGAGCUGAGCAAGUGAUUUAACUAUUAAAUCAGGUGUGUUGGAACAGAGAAACAACUUAAACAUACUAGCUAUUAACCCUCCAGAACCAAGGUCAGAGUCCGUGUUUAACUAGUUUAGGCAAGGUUAGAAAUAAAGUAAAUGUUUCCGCCCGGUUUCGAACCGGGGACCUUUCGCGUGUUAGGCGAACGUGAUAACCACUACACUACGGAAACUCUUGCGUCUGAUGUGCGUUUGUAAUUAUUUUUAGUAAUGAUCACCGCAAGUGUUAUUAUGUUAGUCAUUCUUAGAGAACACUUAAAGAGCAAGUAACGUCUAAAUUAACUUUUUUUUGCUGAUGAACUGUAUAAAUGAGUGUUUAAAGGAGACAUAACAUGAAAAACCCACUUUUUUUAAUCCAUUAACACAGUGUGUUUCACAUUUUAAGUGUCUAAGUGAGCAAAAAGGGUUAUAUUAUUCACUGGAGUUGCUAUUUAGAUAUUUAAUAAUUAAGUUUUGGGCAUAUUUGUCCACCCGUUCAGUUUUUCACAUUAUCUAUUACAUCAGUAAUUUAUUUCGUCAGGAUAACUACCAAAUAUGGUAAUGGCCCUCGGCUAAACACAGAGCCAAUCCGCCAUUUUUUCUUCUCGCUAAGAUUUUUUGUAGUCCUAUUGGAAAAAUGCAGAAUGUCUGGUUAUUUUAGCCACACACAGCUCAAAACUGUUCCUCGUUUUAAGGAAGGGUGGUGUGGCAGUAUUUAAACCCAGAAGCUGAUGACACUACUGCUAAAAAACACAGAAGAAAAAGUAGUGUGUGUGUGUGUGUGUGUGUGUGUGUGUGUGUGUGUGUGUGUGUGUGUGUGUGUGUGUGUGUGUGCGUGCGCGCGCGCGCGCGCGCGUGGUUCGUUCGUUCGUGUCUCCAGGCUAGUGGCUAAGUACUGAGGGCUUCAUCUAUCUAAAAGGAGUCAUUUCCAUCUGAAUUUGGCAGCGACGGGACACAGCAGCAGAUCGGUAAGCUUCAUAUCACUCUAAAAUGUCGACAAACUUUACUUUAGAUUUACGGGCAUUAGCAGCACUAAAGCGUUAGCAUCCGGCUUGCUAUCGCUAGCACAGUAUGCUAGUAAAGUUAGCACCCAGAUUAAUGUGGAUUUGGCUGAUUUUCGUGGAAUAAAACGUGAUUUCUGAUCAACGCCUUCUUUUACACCAGAUGAUAACCUCCCACUGAUUGUAUGGACUCUACACCAUGAGGCAGGCACACGUUAAUACUCUAUAAGAGCACAUAAGCCUGGCUGAUCACCUGAUAACUCCUGUCAUCUGGUUGUGACAGCAUGAGGAUGUCCUCACACACCUGUAACCUAUCAGCUCAUCUGGCAGAAUAGAGAGAGAAGAGACAACACCACAUCUCCUGUUCCUGGAAAGCCUUCAGCCAUCCUUCGAUGACUGAGAACCUCCAUCAGCUCUGUCUCCUGUCUGCCUACAAUUAUUAUAAUAAAUAUUGUGUUUGACAAGUUU
Non-coding RNA from Nothobranchius furzeri (turquoise killifish), 1858 nucleotides. The record is from RefSeq and is a predicted model, not a curated record. Lineage: Eukaryota; Metazoa; Chordata; Actinopteri; Cyprinodontiformes; Nothobranchiidae.